AAUUUUUCUGAUUAAGAAUUUGGAACUAGAGGUUGACCUUAAGGAUAAAGUAUCACAUUUUUCUUCAAUUUGAAGAUAAAGAAAUGAAAGCCCAGAGAGGUUAAGUUUGCAGAGCAGGAUACUAGCAGAGCCAGAGCAGAACCCAGGGAUUUGAAUGCUCUGAGGUUUGUUCACACACAAGUCACCAGGGGCGAUCAGUAUAACCAUAAGCCAGAAAGACCAUGAGUUGGUCUGAAAAAUCACACUUGUCACCUCACCUAAUUCAGGGCCAGAUGUAGAAGAAUAAGAAGAAUGUACCUGAAUCUGCUUAGGGGUCUAGUUAUUUCUAUAAAUGGGUAUAUAGAGAGUUCACUUGAAUUCUAAUGGAUGACAUUUCCUCUUGACUCUAGGGAAAGCUGUAACUGUCUUAUGAUCCCACGAUAUGGACUCUAGGACUAUGCUUUUGUGACUUUCAAAUCCAGCAGUUGUUUAUAGUUUGUGUUAUAAGAUCUCCUGCCAAUUAUUAAAGCAUUCCUCCCUCUGGAACUAAGACCUCUAGGCGAGCAGAACAUAAUGUCGCGGUACCAGGAAGCAAAAAUUUUGCUGGUGGAUCACUAAGGGUGAUGGCUCUCUGCAAGCUGAGAAGCAAGGAAGCCAGUCUGAGU
This is a long non-coding RNA of Homo sapiens (human), 644 nucleotides long. RefSeq lists it as uncharacterized. The record is from RefSeq and is a predicted model, not a curated record. The transcript is spliced from 3 exons. NCBI's taxonomy places the organism in Eukaryota, Metazoa, Chordata, Mammalia, Primates, Hominidae.